RNAcentral lists this ribosomal RNA (610 nucleotides) under Leuconostoc mesenteroides. Its description in RNAcentral is "bacterial SSU rRNA". It matches the Rfam family "Bacterial small subunit ribosomal RNA", at positions 48 to 643 of the family's 1533-position model. The record is from RNAcentral. Lineage: Bacteria; Bacillati; Bacillota; Bacilli; Lactobacillales; Lactobacillaceae.
CUAAUACAUGCAAGUCGAACGCACAGCGAAAGGUGCUUGCACCUUUCAAGUGAGUGGCGAACGGGUGAGUAACACGUGGACAACCUGCCUCAAGGUUGGGGAUAACAUUUGGAAACAGAUGCUAAUACCGAAUAAAACUUAGUGUCGCAUGACACAAAGUUAAAAGGCGCUUGGGCGUCACCUAGAGAUGGAUCCGCGGUGCAUUAGUUAGUUGGUGGGGUAAAGGCCUACCAAGACAAUGAUGCAUAGCCGAGUUGAGAGACUGAUCGGCCACAUUGGGACUGAGACACGGCCCAAACUCCUACGGGAGGCUGCAGUAGGGAAUCUUCCACAAUGGGCGAAAGCCUGAUGGAGCAACGCCGCGUGUGUGAUGAAGGCUUUCGGGUCGUAAAGCACUGUUGUAUGGGAAGAACAGCUAGAAUAGGAAAUGAUUUUAGUUUGACGGUACCAUACCAGAAAGGGACGGCUAAAUACGUGCCAGCAGCCGCGGUAAUACGUAUGUCCCGAGCGUUAUCCGGAUUUAUUGGGCGUAAAGCGAGCGCAGACGGUUUAUUAAGUCUGAUGGAAAGCCCGGAGCUCAACUCCGGAAUGGCAUGGAAACUGGUAACUG